Molecule: long non-coding RNA, 273 nt
Filed under: Elaeis guineensis (African oil palm)
Lineage: Eukaryota; Viridiplantae; Streptophyta; Magnoliopsida; Arecales; Arecaceae
Description: long non-coding RNA (EGUI_LNC004034)
Source: RNAcentral
CUUGAAGAAUAGACGUAGGUGUUGGGUUGACACUGAACCAUGAUAAAAUUUUCUGUUUAUGUAUGUGACUUUGUUUGCUUACUUUUUUGCAUUUACAUUUUAAUAUACCAACUCAUUGUUCUCAUUGGAUACACUCAUAUAGUGCACAUGCUUGUUUAUUUCCCCAAAAGAAUUUUAAAAACCCAAUUCACCCAUCCCCUAUUGGGUUGUGUCUCUGGACAACAAGUGGUAUCAGAGCAGGUUCUUUCAUUCACUUGUUUGUCUUGUGAUCAA